UUUCCAUUCCCCACCAUCCAGCCAGAGCUAAAGAAGCUUCUUGAAUGAGAAGUGAAAUAUCUUCAAAGAAAUCAGGAAAGUCCAGUUGCCUCCUGAAAAAGCAUAUUUGGGAUUCUAGCAAGGUUGUGCAGAUAAUGAGUGCAGCAAUGUGAUUGAAGACCUACUCCUUUUCUUCAGCUCCUUUGCAGGGAGAAGCAGAUGGGAAAAAAAGAAACUGAAGAAAGAAAAGAAAGGAAAUUGUUGGUUCAGUCUAUCUUGAUAUAGCUUCUCCAUCUGUCUCACUGCUCCAGGCUCCUAGGAGAUGACUGUGAAGAGCACAUUGAAUGACCAGCCUCAAAAAGUAGUGAAUGGUCCUGGGAGAAAACUCUAAAUUGGUUUGGUUUCUGUUUCCAUUGAAAUUUAUUACAAGUAAUUCAUACUGUCAAGUUGUGUAUUUCGUACAUUUCCUUUUUUUGUUCCUAUUAAAAUUAUAGCACAAAGGUU
Molecule: long non-coding RNA, 483 nt
Organism: Crotalus tigris (Tiger rattlesnake)
Lineage: Eukaryota; Metazoa; Chordata; Lepidosauria; Squamata; Viperidae
Exons: 2
Source: RefSeq, a predicted model, not a curated record